Molecule: ribosomal RNA, 694 nt
Filed under: uncultured bacterium
Lineage: Bacteria
Description: bacterial SSU rRNA
Rfam family: Bacterial small subunit ribosomal RNA
Source: RNAcentral
AACGCUAGCUACAGGCUUAACACAUGCAAGUCGAGGGGUAACAAGAGAAAAGCUUGCUUUUCUUGUUGACGACCGGCGCACGGGUGAGUAACGCGUAUCCAACCUGCCUAUAACUAGGGAAUAACCUUGCGAAAGUAAGACUAAUACCCUAUGAUUUCCUUUGAUGACAUCAGAUUAGGAAUAAAGAUUUAUCGGUUAUAGAUGGGGAUGCGUCUGAUUAGCUUGUUGGCGGGGUAACGGCCCACCAAGGCAACGAUCAGUAGGGGUUCUGAGAGGAAGGUCCCCCACAUUGGAACUGAGACACGGUCCAAACUCCUACGGGAGGCAGCAGUGAGGAAUAUUGGUCAAUGGGCGGAAGCCUGAACCAGCCAAGUAGCGUGCAGGAUGACGGCCCUAUGGGUUGUAAACUGCUUUUAUACAGGAAUAAAGUUAGCCACGUGUGGUUAUUUGUAGGUACUGUAUGAAUAAGGACCGGCUAAUUCCGUGCCAGCAGCCGCGGUAAUACGGAAGGUCCAGGCGUUAUCCGGAUUUAUUGGGUUUAAAGGGAGCGUAGGCCGUCUGUUAAGCGUGUUGUGAAAUGUAGAUGCUCAACAUCUGAAUUGCAGCGCGAACUGGCAGACUUGAGUGUGCGCAACGUAGGCGGAAUUCGUGGUGUAGCGGUGAAAUGCUUAGAUAUCACGAAGAACUCCGAUUG